UACGAAGGGGGCUAGCGUUGCUCGGAAUCACUGGGCGUAAAGGGUGCGUAGGCGGGUGUUUAAGUCAGGGGUGAAAUCCUGGAGCUCAACUCCAGAACUGCCUUUGAUACUGAAGAUCUUGAGUUCGGGAGAGGUGAGUGGAACUGCGAGUGUAGAGGUGAAAUUCGUAGAUAUUCGCAAGAACACCAGUGGCGAAGGCGGCUCACUGGCCCGAUACUGACGCUGAGGCACGAAAGCGUGGGGAGCAAACAGG
This 253-nucleotide ribosomal RNA is filed under the name uncultured bacterium. Its description in RNAcentral is "partial 16S ribosomal RNA". It matches the Rfam family "Bacterial small subunit ribosomal RNA", at positions 524 to 776 of the family's 1533-position model. The record is from RNAcentral.